Molecule: unclassified non-coding RNA, 228 nt
Filed under: Hevea brasiliensis (rubber tree)
Lineage: Eukaryota; Viridiplantae; Streptophyta; Magnoliopsida; Malpighiales; Euphorbiaceae
Source: RNAcentral
GGAAAAGCAACUGAUCAAUCUCUCAUUUGUUGCCAUGAUGACACUAUAAACAGUAGCAGAGUCAAAGAGAAAAAAGGGUGUGUAGAUAACAAAUUGUGGCUAUUGAAGAUAAAGAAUCUUGAUUAUCAAAUGGCUGAGGUGAUUGGACCUAGAUUGUACAGUUGCUGCAAUUGUAAGAAUGAAGUUGCACUUCAUGAUGACAUUAUUUCUAAGGCUUUUCAGGGAAGA